This 314-nucleotide ribosomal RNA is filed under the name uncultured eukaryote. RNAcentral describes it as "partial large subunit ribosomal RNA". It matches the Rfam family "Eukaryotic large subunit ribosomal RNA", at positions 40 to 350 of the family's 3401-position model. The record is from RNAcentral.
GUAUCAGUAAGCGGAGGAAAAGAAACUAACAAGGAUUGCCCCAGUAGCGGCGAGUGAACAGGCAAAAGCUCAAAGUGGAAAUCCGGCGGCACCAGGCUGACGGAAUUGUAAUCUAGAGAGUCGACGCGAAGGCACGGCACACCGCGUGAGUUCCUUGGAACAGGACGCCACAGAGGGUGAAAGCCCCAUCUGCAGCGGUGGCUGGCUGUAGCGCAAGGCCUCCAAGAGUCGGGUUGUUUGGGACUGCAGCCCUAAAUGGGAGAUAAACUUCUUCUAAAGCUAAAUAUUUAUGGGAGACCGAUAGCGCACAAGUA